This is a long non-coding RNA of Passer domesticus (house sparrow), 3263 nucleotides long. RefSeq lists it as uncharacterized. Lineage: Eukaryota; Metazoa; Chordata; Aves; Passeriformes; Passeridae. The record is from RefSeq and is a predicted model, not a curated record. The transcript is spliced from 3 exons.
UCCAUGCUCUGCUCUGCUCUGCUCAGCUGCCUUGCCAGGGAAAUGCUUCCACAUCCCUGCUGAGGGCCAGCAACUGCAGGGAAGUGCUGGCUGAUGGCCAAGAGGCGGAGAGCUUUCCAGGAGUGUUUGACCAAUGUGCCCUGUUAUAAAGUGCCCAGUUUAAGGUGCCCUUCAGGAAGAAUUAGCAGAAACUCAGGGCAAGCAUGAGUUAUGUACACUUUCAUGUCCUUCUAAUGCUGCUGUCCCCAACCUUCUUGCACCCAGAUCCUCUUAUUCCCCCUUUAGCUUGGAGAACAGAUGCAUGGAAAAAGAGCAUCUUCUUUUACAGCUCCAGCCCAGACUUUUGAUCUGGUUUCAUCCCUUGCACAGCACUGAAGUUUCGUGCACAAAAGUCUAUAAUUUUUUAAGAUUCCUCUAGCCCAAACUGUGCUACACCUGACUUGGACAUGUUACUUAGGGUGAUGUAUUUGAUUAUACAUUGAACCCAAAAUCUUGGCUUCCCCUGCUUUUGUCAUCUGCCUUCUUUUUCUGCAUGCUUUUCCCCUUCUGCAGGAUCUUUGAUGGUUUCUUUUUGUCUCCCUUCAGCUGUUUGUGGGAUGAUCUUUCCUUUGUAUCCUUACUUGCCCCUCUGAGCUUAUCCACAAACUUAUGUCUUCUUUCCAUGCAGACAACUUUCAUUCAUUGACUUUGCCUCCAUCUAUCAGGAUGGGAAUCUCAUUCUGCAACAUUUCCUUGGGAACUAUUUGCUGUCAUCAUGAGCUCCGCAUGGUUAAAAGAGAUGUUAAUGUUUUCUCUGCACCAAGGUGGCAGCGCUUUUCUUGACUGCUUUUCACUCAGUCCUGCUUCCUACUUGUUGCUCUCCCUACAUCUCCAGGUCUUUGUCUUGCAGGGUGUGGGUGUGGAGAGGUGUGUGUUUGUAUAAAGUAUGAAAUAAAACUUUUCCUACCUCUUUUAGCUAAGAUUUAUUGCCCAUACCUUGCCUGUUACAGGAUUCUUUGCUCUCAAAAAAUGCAUUUUUGAUUCUUGAAAGAUUGUCAAGAUCCUUUUCCUUGCAUUAGGCUCACAUCAACACUCUGCAUCUUUUUCAAAUGUGCCCUCCUUGAAAUUGGCUCACACAUUCUAAAGUCCCUUCUCAUCCCUCAUUUACCAGGUACAGGCUGGUUCCUUGCUCCUGCUGGUCCACCAUGCAACCUUUACUUUCUCACGGCAUUUUCAGAUGCUGUUAUGGCUGUGUUACUCCUCAAGCCUGGCAGAGGACUCCUGUAAACAUAUAUCUGCAUGUAUCUCCUUCAAACACUCCCUUCUCCAUGAGCACACAUCCAGUGUGUUAGGCAGUUCAGACAUCCCUUCCAGCUGUGGCAGUUUUUGAUGGCUGUGUGUCAGGAUGAAAUGCUGGGAAUAAGUAAGGGAUUUGUGAAGCUAAAAACACACCGAAGGAGUUGCCUAAUUUAGAAUCAACAAGCUAUUUUCAAAGGCACAGUGGGAGCUCUUCACAUUGCAUGGCCUGCAUCUUCAUUUGCACUGUAGGCUGUGCGUCAGCAAGGCUGCAGGAUAGAGGAAACUCGACAGUGCUUCAUUUUCAUUUUUACAUAUGCAAGAAACCAGCACAUUGUGUCUACUCAGGGGACUUUUACACUGUGGAUUAUAUUCCUUCCUCAGCCCCUCUGACCUCCAGUCAUGCAGGUAUGAGUAAAGAUCUUUGCUCAAGAAAAUAAAAAGGUUAUGUAAUUUACUCUCUGUAAAACCCUGAUAUAAAUCUGAUCCCUGGAAUGAAAUGGGUUAGAAAAUCACCCUUUUGUGAACUGUUUCUGUUAACUUUGGUGACUGAAACGGAGUGGUGAACACAGAGCACUAUUUGGGCACGUAGGAGUGACAGCAAUAAAAAUGAAGAAUUUGCUUGAAGAGAUUAUAGGCAGGAUGCCUUACACUGCUUCGUUCCCUCUGGGAGAGGAAGAGUUUGCAGGAGAAUACUUAGUAAAUCAGCGGAUGUUGUGCUCCACAAGCUCAGCAGUGAGUAAUCCCUGGUUCACUGGUUCCUAGCCCCAGUAAUCCAGUUAUCAGGAAACAGCAAAAUCCCGGGCACAGAGACUCCUCUCCUGACUCUUGACCAUGGAUGCAAGUUUAUCCAUCUCCUCUGAGUUGGGAAGAGGUUGAUAUGAAGGAAAAUCACACAAGCAACCAUGACACACCCCUGGCAAAGAGCCAUGCUCCAAGGAGAUGAUUUCCCAUUGCCCCCACGUUCCCUGCAUGUUGGAGGUGCCUGGUGUGGGGGGUGCUGCAUGGGCUGCCCACCCUGGUGCAGCUCCUGCUCUCCAAGGUGAUGGCUGGGCCAGCCUCGGGGUCUGCUGGUGGCAGCACCAGCAUUCUCUGCCUCCCAUCACCGGAUCAUCUCCCAUGGAACCUCACAGAAUCCCCUGUUGCAUUAGAUGUUCCAAAGUGGUCCGUUUAGAUAUGUAGAACACAUGAUCAGUGUCUUACAAAAGACCUCAGCACACUGGUUGUUAGGGCUCUGAAAAUCUGCCUGGAGCUGUGAUUGUGGCAGCUGCAGCUCUCCAAGUGCCUUUGAAAAGUGGGUCCUUGUGUACUUUUCUCAAUGCAGGCUGCAGUUUGAAACUCCGGCUCCACUUCCAGGUGGUACUCUCAUAAGCAACGCAGGAGCCUAAAUUUCAUUACCUUUCAUGUUACUCCAGUGGUGAAACAGGGGUUUUGAUACUUACUGUCCUUUGGAGAAAGGCUUGGAAUCUUGAAAGGAACACAGAGGUGGUAUGCUCAUACAAACGCCCAGACAUGUUGCCUGCUCAGGGAAGAUAAACAGUAGAGUGAAAUGAUUAAAAAGUUUCUCAUUCUCUGUGGUCAGAAGACUUUGUCCUAAACCUGAAGCUUGGAUUUGUCAAAAGCAAAAAUGAGAAAGCUGUAAGUUUAGACUUGAAGUGCUUCCUGGAAUAACUAUCAACCUUGCAAAGAUAAAGGUGAAGUGCAUCCUUGCAGAAUUCAUGAGAGCCCUUUCCUUCACUGAUGGAGACAUGUGGGAGGGAUAUGGUGAUAUGCCCCAUCUCAAAAGAGUGAUCAACAUCACUGUCUGCCACCAGAUCAGCAGGAUUUCUAGCACUGCUUCUCAUUUCUUCCUUUGCUCACCUCACAUAGUUUGCCAUGUAAAGGGAAGAGAGGUUUCAGUGUAGGAGAGUUCAAAUGCUGAAGAGGGAUGAUUUAGUGGUUCUGUUAGAGGACUUUUGUCAAACUGACCACUUUGUUUUCCAUCUGAA